Sturnus vulgaris (Common starling) is the source of this 2800-nucleotide non-coding RNA. The record is from RefSeq and is a predicted model, not a curated record. Lineage: Eukaryota; Metazoa; Chordata; Aves; Passeriformes; Sturnidae.
UCUACUCAGGCUUGACUGCCUGACCCCAUGGUAUGCAGGCAAGUGGUUGAAUCUCAUUUUUUAAAAUUUUCAAGAGAGACUGUCACGUUAAUAAUAAAAUUAGGUAAGUACCAACAGCUAGAAACACAGAAGUUGAGGUCAGCUGUUUCCUAUCUGAUUUCUUAAACACAGUUCUACUUUUCAGAUGAAGAAAGUGAAGAGAAACGAUGCUAUUGUACUUACCUUCUUGACUCCAUGUGGAAGGUCUCCCUUUCAUGAUCCUGGUAAUAGGAACAUGAUGUGGAAAUGGUCUCAUCUGGGAUAAAAUAUUAUGAGAGAGUGUGGAGAGAUGAAAAUAUGUUUGUGAGCAUUAUGAGGCGAUCUAAGAGGGUUGCAGGACUAGUGAAGAUUGACAGCAGUGCUCCUGACUGAAGCAGUGCUUCCUUGAAGCCUUUAUUUUCCUGCCGCAGGUGUCAGUCCUUCCUGCCCUGCAGAGCUCCAGCAGAAAGGUUGCUUACCCUUAUUAUGGAGAGUCUGCCCACCUUGGAUUGCUCUUAAAAGUCAAAUGUUAAGUCUAGAAACAAAGAAAUGAACCCCAUAAUUUGCAGUUUAUUUUUGUUGACAUCCAAGGCACUGUUGGAAUAAAUUCAGGCUGUUCAGAAUACCUGUAAAAUUUAGGUGAUAAUAGCAAAAUAUAGGUGGGAUCUCUGAGUCAUUAAAAUGCACAUUGGAAGGGAGAGGGAAGUGUCACUGUAGGAAUGGUGGCACUGGUUUGGAGGCAAGGCUGAGGUACAUAAGGGGCUUCAGAGAGGAAAGCAGCAAGUCUGUGGUGCUGUAGGUUGGUGUUGUGUUGCUGGUCACAUUUGCCCUGCUGAACUCUCUGUGAUAGACUUAAAGAGUACAGAAAAUCCAAACAUUGUUGCUGGAACAGUGUACUUCGAUUUUAUAUCUUUAGACCUGUAACAUGUUGUGAAGGCUUGAGCCAUUUUAUAGCUACAGCAACUCCCUUCCCUUCUCUGUCUACCAUGCCCUCACUGAAGUAUAGCUUUGUUUUGGGCUGAAUUGCUCUGGAACGACAGAGAAUGAAUCCUGCCUUGUGGGAACUCUCUGUUCUGUGUAAAUUUAAGGUGGGUCUCUGGAGGCACAUCGGAGCUUGGAGGGGCCGGGAAGGAGCACCUUACAGCACACUGGUGCCAUCUGAUGAAGUAACUGUUAAUUACAGACAUGGUCUUCCUGUGAUAACGCUUAUGCUGCCCACAAGAAGCGAACGCUGUCAGUUCACUGUCAAGCCGGUAGUGACCACUGUAGGAGCAUUCCUGCAGGAUGUGCAAAGAGAAGAUAAAGGAAUUGAGAGAGCUGAAGUCUUUGCAACAGAUGGUAGCAAGGUCUCUGAUGCAACCUUGAUGGAGGUCUUAUUGAUGAAUGACUUUAAACUUGUUAUCAACAACAGAGCAUGCAGUGUGUCACCUCCUGUAAAAGAUAAAAUGAGUAGUGAGCAUGCUACUGAAAUGGAAGAUAUCAAAUCCUUGGUUCACAGACUGUUUGUGGCUCUACAUUUAGAAGAUCACCAGAUCAGGAAAGAGAGAGAAUUGCUACAGAAACUGGACCAUCUGAAAGGAGAGCUGCUGCCUCUUGAACAGAUGAAAGCCAAAAUCAUGGACAGUGCAGAUGCAAAAACCUCCAGGCUUUUAUGGGUUGGCCUAGCUCUGAUGUCAACUCAGGGGGGAGCGCUGGCAUGGCUCACCUGGUGGGUCUACUCGUGGGACAUCAUGGAGCCAGUCACGUACUUUAUCACCUAUGGGAGUGCCAUGGCUUUCUAUGCCUACUUCGUUCUUACCAAGCAGGUCAGUGCUUGUCUUCUAAAGGAAUGUCUGGAAUAUUGGGAAGGAGGAAAACUGAGUCUGUGAAUCACAAUGUUUGAGCUCUGAGGAAAACAGAAUUCAGUAAGUGGCCUUGACUUGUUUGAUCUAUAAUGAGGCUGGAUGCAAAUAUUACAUCAAGCAGGUACUGCUGCACAUGAACUGCAGGACAGCUACUGAGCAUAAGUACUGUCAGAAAGAUUUCAUAACCUAGGAAAUGAAAAGUGAGGAAAGAAAUCUCUCCUUUAAAAUGUUUGUAGAUCACUUUGCAAAGUAAAUGACACCUUGCUCACUGCAGUAAUGGGAGAGCAACUGGUAGUGCUGUGCCAGUUUGUGAAUGCUGCCUUAUUUAAAAACAAAUAAAAAUAGUAGGUUUUAUUUGCUGGAGUUUACAUAUAUACAGUGCAGGGUACCAGACUUUUUGGAACUUUUUGUUUGGAAGUCUGGCAGUUGCAUUACUGAAAUACAUUUAGUGCCUGAAAAAACGUUAUUGCUCUGCUCAUCAUAAUCUGACUGCUUUUUCAUGACUUAGAAUGCUUCCAGGUAAAUCUAGGACAGCUGAAAUGGAGCAGGAAGCAGGCAUUGUGUAGAAGCAAAAAGUUUCCUCAGAUCUUUACCUAGCUUCACAAUACAGAUUUGUUCUGAAAUCCUGUUAAGACUUUGAGAAAUAUUCUUUUUCCUGUUUUAGCUCUGUACUUUACUCUGAAAGUGGACAUCUUGAUGCUGAACUUCCUAUGAUUGAGCUUCCUUUGAAAGCAGAACUCUUUUUGUUGUGGAAGUAUGUGGAAGAAUACCAGUACUUUCUUCCGUUAUACCAAUGGAUCUACAGACCUUGUGAGAAAUUAGGUUCCUUCAGUAAAAAGGGGAGACAUAUCUGUUUUUAUGAAGAGCUGGCUCAGAAUGACUACAUUUAUCCUCAUGCUAAGGACAGGCAGUUCCUCCACUACUUCUACCGCAAAUCC